Molecule: long non-coding RNA, 242 nt
Filed under: Cervus hanglu yarkandensis (Yarkand deer)
Lineage: Eukaryota; Metazoa; Chordata; Mammalia; Artiodactyla; Cervidae
Description: lncRNA (ENSCHYG00000002867.1)
Source: RNAcentral
AGGAGGGGCGCGCGCGGCGGCCAGCCUGCAGACGCCGGGAGCCGCGCAGCAGAGAAGAGCGCUGGCCGCGAGCCUGGGCGAGCCGAUCUGAUUUGUAUCCAGUGUGAUCAGCACUCCCUCACUUAAGACUUUCCAGACCCAGGACUCCAGAGGAACCAGACACCUCACAAGAAGGCGACUGUAACUUCCGAUUCCUUGGUGGAGGAAAACAACACACUCCGGUCUUGCUUCCAAUGAUGCAA